GAGUUUGAUCCUGGCUCAGAACGAACGCUGGCGGCGUGGAUUAGGCAUGCAAGUCGAACGAGAAAGAUCGCUUCGGCGAUCAAGUACAGUGGCAAACGGGUGAGUAACGCGUGGGAAACCUGCCCUUUGGUUGGGGACAACACUCCUAACGGGGUGCUAAUACCGAAUAAGCUCUUAGUGUCGCAUGGCACAUAGAGGAAAGGCGGCCUCUGCUUGCAAGCUGUCACCAAAGGAUGGUCCCGCGUCCCAUUAGUUAGUUGGUGAGGUAAUGGCUCACCAAGACGUCGAUGGGUAGCCGGCCUUAGCGGGUGAUCGGCCACACUGGGACUGAGAUACGGCCCAGACUCCUACGGGAGGCAGCAGUCGAGAGGCAUCCACAAUGGGGGAAACCCUGAUGGUGCGACGCCGCGUGGGGGAUGAAGGUUUUCGGAUCGUAAACCCCUUUCAGCAGGGACGAAGAGAUUAAUGGUUAAUAUCCAUUGGUACCAGACGGUACCUGCAGAAGAAGCUCCGGCUAACUCCGUGCCAGCAGCCGCGGUAAUACGGAGGGAGCAAGCGUUGUUCGGAUUUACUGGGUGUAAAGGGCGUCUAGGCGGGCUAAUAAGUCAGGUGUGAAAUCCUCCGGCUCAACCGGAGAACUGCACUUGAUACUGUUAGUCUUGAGUUCGGAAGAGGAGAGCGGAAUUCCUGGUGUAGCGGUGAAAUGCGUAGAUAUCAGGAAGAACACCGGUGGCGAAGGCGGCUCUCUGGUCCGAAACUGACGCUGAAGCGCGAAAGUGUG
Molecule: ribosomal RNA, 781 nt
Filed under: uncultured bacterium
Lineage: Bacteria
Description: bacterial SSU rRNA
Rfam family: Bacterial small subunit ribosomal RNA
Source: RNAcentral